UACGAAGGGUGCAAGCGUUAAUCGGAAUUACUGGGCGUAAAGGGUGCGUAGGCGGUUGUUUUAAGUCUGCCGUGAAAUCCCCGGGCUCAACCUGGGAAUGGCGGUGGAUACUGGAUAGCUAGAGUGUGUCAGAGGAUGGUGGAAUUCCCGGUGUAGCGGUGAAAAUGCGUAGAGAUCGGGAGGAACACCAGUGGCGAAGGCGGCCAUCUGGAUCAACACUGACGCUGAGGCACGAAAGCGUGGGGAGCAAACGGG
Molecule: ribosomal RNA, 255 nt
Filed under: uncultured bacterium
Lineage: Bacteria
Description: partial 16S ribosomal RNA
Rfam family: Bacterial small subunit ribosomal RNA
Source: RNAcentral